CUGGGACUCUGAGGAAGUGAUGGGUAUAUCUGAGAUGGGCCAUUCAUCUUUAGUAAUAUACUUUCAGGACCCCUGGCUUCCUUAACUACUGAGUGCUUGACCUUGCAACUGCAAGUUUUUUUUUUUAAAACAUCUUUUUUCUGUGUAAUAUUAAGUUAGGGCCAAAUGGUUCUGGUACAAAGCAUGGGCUCCUUUCUGUCUGCAGAGUCAGAUGACCACCUAAAUGUGAUCUUCCCCCACCUUUCAGCCCCAAAAUAUCAGUGGGCAAAUAAUAGUAGUGGUCAUCACUUAGGUCUAAGUUCUGACUUGCACUGCCUGGGCAGGGGAGAAGGUGCAGGAGCCUCUUUCCCCAUCCUUAACAUAUGCAGGCAUAAUGCUGAGUUUCUGAAUGCAGUCGCCAAAGCCACAAACCUUCAUCCUGCCAGAAAGCGAAACUCAUCUCGCAUCCUCCUCCUCCCAAGGCCAUGGUCAAUGCUACUCAGUGGAUCAGGUGCCAGAGGAUGUUGUCAGAAAAGGACAGCUCACACCCAGUUAUGUUUGCCAGUUAGUUGCUAAAUAUAACAGGAUAAUUUUUUUUUAACUCAAAUGGUAAAUGGGUAUCGUUUCUCUUUACAUUUCUGAUAUCUUUCACCUUGUGUCACCUACCAAAGGAAACAUUGUAGAGUUGUGCAAGUGUCUUGCUAUGAUAUUAUAUUCUAAAGACUGUAUAGAAAAACAUUCUAUUUUUACUUCGGUAAAGUCAAUGUUGUGAUAAAGUAAAUAUUUCUUUUUAAGGUCACCUACGGUAGUCUUUAUGUUGAUCUGUUUUGUAAAAGAAAUAAAGUGCUCUUUCUAUACAUAGCCAUGCAUAGUGAUCUCUAUCUUCAUGUCUCCCUUGUUAAAUGUAAACCUCAGUAGUAUUGGCUAUUUUGAGUGUCCUAUACAUUUAAUACACAAGCUAUUGUUAGGGAAACAAUCUUACCUUUCUGGAAUAUAGUGUGUGGGAGUUGUGUAAAAUGUGUUGAUGGUAAUGCAAUAAACUGUAAAGUCGUGUAAUAAAAUGGCUGUAACAUGCAUCUUUGGCUGUUUCAUCUGCACUCUGCCCACU
Molecule: long non-coding RNA, 1087 nt
Organism: Mauremys reevesii (Reeves's turtle)
Lineage: Eukaryota; Metazoa; Chordata; Testudines; Geoemydidae
Exons: 4
Source: RefSeq, a predicted model, not a curated record